ACUGGCCCCCUGUUUAAAAAGUUUGAGAACCCCGUCACUAGAGUAUGGCCGACCUGCUGCUGGAGCCCCAGGCCGGAGGCCACCAGGGUGCUUGGGGCCAGGACCAUUUCUCCCUAACUGUCCUGGCAGAUCUUCCCCUCCCCUUCCCCCC
Molecule: long non-coding RNA, 151 nt
Organism: Myotis davidii
Lineage: Eukaryota; Metazoa; Chordata; Mammalia; Chiroptera; Vespertilionidae
Exons: 2
Source: RefSeq, a predicted model, not a curated record